RNAcentral lists this ribosomal RNA (469 nucleotides) under uncultured bacterium. RNAcentral describes it as "partial 16S ribosomal RNA". It matches the Rfam family "Bacterial small subunit ribosomal RNA", at positions 28 to 507 of the family's 1533-position model. The record is from RNAcentral.
GACGAACGCUGGCGGCGUGCUUAACACAUGCAAGUCGAACGGAAAGGCCCUGCUUUUGUGGGGUGCUCGAGUGGCGAACGGGUGAGUAACACGUGAGUAACCUGCCCUUGACUUUGGGAUAACUUCAGGAAACUGGGGCUAAUACCGGAUAGGAGCUCCUGCUGCAUGGUGGAGGUUGGAAAGUUUCGGCGGUUGGGGAUGGACUCGCGGCUUAUCAGCUUGUUGGUGGGGUAGUGGCUUACCAAGGCUUUGACGGGUAGCCGGCCUGAGAGGGUGACCGGCCACAUUGGGACUGAGAUACGGCCCAGACUCCUACGGGAGGCAGCAGUGGGGAAUAUUGCACAAUGGGCGGAAGCCUGAUGCAGCAACGCCGCGUGCGGGAUGACGGCCUUCGGGUUGUAAACCGCUUUCGCUCAUGACGAAGCUUUGUGUGACGGUAGUGGGUAAAGAAGCACCGGCUAACUACGUG